RNAcentral lists this ribosomal RNA (240 nucleotides) under Rhodobiaceae bacterium. RNAcentral's name for it is "partial 16S ribosomal RNA". It matches the Rfam family "Bacterial small subunit ribosomal RNA", at positions 1 to 255 of the family's 1533-position model. The record is from RNAcentral. Lineage: Bacteria; Pseudomonadati; Pseudomonadota; Alphaproteobacteria; Hyphomicrobiales; Rhodobiaceae.
UCAAACUUAAGAGUUUGAUCCUGGCUCAGAACGAACGUUGGCGGCACGCUUAACACAUGCAAGUCGAACGAGAAACCCGAGCUUGCUCGGGUGGAAAGUGGCAGACGGCUUAGUAACGCGUGGGUAUCUACCUAGAGGUUUGGAACAACUAUUGGAAACGAUAGCUAAUACCAAAUAUUCCCUUCGGGGGAAAGAUUUAUCGCCUUUAGAUGAGCCCGCGUCGGAUUAGCUUGUUGGUGA